GGGAUUGCCCUAGUAACGGCGAGUGAAGCGGCAACAGCUCAAAUUUGAAAUCUGGCGCAAGCCCGAGUUGUAAUUUGUAGAGGAUGCUUCUGGGUAGCGACCGAUCUAAGUUCCUUGGAACAGGACGUCAUAGAGGGUGAGAAUCCCGUAUGUGACCGGCCCGCACCCUUUACGUAGCUCCUUCGACGAGUCGAGUUGUUUGGGAAUGCAGCUCUAAAUGGGAGGUAAAUUUCUUCUAAAGCUAAAUACCGGCCAGAGACCGAUAGCGCACAAGUAGAGUGAUCGAAAGAUGAAAAGUACUUUGGAAAGAGAGUUAAAAAGCACGUGAAAUUGUUGAAAGGGAAGCGCCUGCAACCAGACUUCGCGGCAGUGUUCCGCCGGUCUUCUGACCGGUUCAUUCUCUGUCGCGAGGCCAUCAUCGUCUGGGCCCGCCGGAUAAGACCUGAGGAAUGUGGCUCCCCCUCGGGGGAGUGUUAUAGCCUCUGGUGAUGCGGCGUGGCUCGGGCGAGGUCCGCGCUUCGGCAAGGAUGAUGGCGUAAUGGUUGUCGGCGGCCCGUCUUGAAACACGGACCAAGGAGUCUAACAUCUAUGCGAGUGUUCGGGUGUCAAACCCCUACGCGUAAUGAAAGUGAACGGAGGUGGGAACCGCAAGGUGCACCAUCGACCGAUCCUGAUGUCCUCGGAUGGAUUUGAGUAAGAGCAUAGCUGUUGGGACCCGAAAGAUGGUGAACUAUGCCUGAAUAGGGUGAAGCCAGAGGAAACUCUGGUGGAGGCUCGCAGCGGUUCUGACGUGCAAAUCGAUCGUCAAAUUUGGGUAUAGGGGCG
RNAcentral lists this ribosomal RNA (825 nucleotides) under Cercospora beticola. RNAcentral describes it as "eukaryotic LSU rRNA". It matches the Rfam family "Eukaryotic large subunit ribosomal RNA", at positions 71 to 925 of the family's 3401-position model. RNAcentral also lists the same sequence under 1 other name. The record is from RNAcentral. Lineage: Eukaryota; Fungi; Ascomycota; Dothideomycetes; Mycosphaerellales; Mycosphaerellaceae.